Molecule: ribosomal RNA, 253 nt
Filed under: uncultured bacterium
Lineage: Bacteria
Description: partial 16S ribosomal RNA
Rfam family: Bacterial small subunit ribosomal RNA
Source: RNAcentral
UACGAAGGGGGCUAGCGUUGCUCGGAAUCACUGGGCGUAAAGCGCACGUAGGCGGGUUCUUAAGUCAGGGGUGAAAUCCUGGAGCUCAACUCCAGAACUGCCUUUGAUACUGGGAAUCUCGAGUCCGGGAGAGGUGAGUGGAACUGCGAGUGUAGAGGUGAAAUUCGUAGAUAUUCGCAAGAACACCAGUGGCGAAGGCGGCUCACUGGCCCGGUACUGACGCUGAGGCGCGAAAGCGUGGGGAGCAAACAGG